This 71-nucleotide transfer RNA is filed under the name Stegodyphus mimosarum. It matches the Rfam family "tRNA". From Rfam's summary of the family: Transfer RNA (tRNA) molecules are approximately 80 nucleotides in length. Lineage: Eukaryota; Metazoa; Arthropoda; Arachnida; Araneae; Eresidae. The record is from Rfam by way of RNAcentral.
GCCUUCGUGGUGAAACGGUAGCAUAUUCGACACAUAUUCGAGAGAUACAGGUUCGAGUCCCGGCUAGGGCA